CCAUGUGGGCGGCCAACUCCUUCUCCGGGGUCUACUUCCCCGGCCUCAGCCUCUUCCAGGACAUCAAGGGGGCCGGCAAGGGCAAGGGCAAGGUCAAGGUCGGCAAG
This 107-nucleotide small nuclear RNA is filed under the name Dinophysis acuminata. Its description in RNAcentral is "partial Dictyostelium signal recognition particle". Lineage: Eukaryota; Dinophyceae; Dinophysales; Dinophysaceae. The record is from RNAcentral.